Molecule: ribosomal RNA, 605 nt
Filed under: uncultured Verrucomicrobiota bacterium
Lineage: Bacteria; Pseudomonadati; Verrucomicrobiota
Description: bacterial SSU rRNA
Rfam family: Bacterial small subunit ribosomal RNA
Source: RNAcentral
UAGCAAUACAAGGCUGAGCUAGUGGCGAACGGGUGCGUAACACGUGAGCAAUCUGCCUUAAAGUGGGGGAUAGCUCGCCGAAAGGCGAAUUAAUACCGCAUGUGGUUGCAGAACCAAAGCCGGGGAAACCUGGCGCUUGUAGAGGAGCUCGCGGCCUAUCAGCUUGUUGGUGAGGUAACGGCUCACCAAGGCCUCGACGGGUAGCUGGUCUGAGAGGACGACCAGCCACACUGGAACUGAGACACGGUCCAGACACCUACGGGUGGCAGCAGUCGAGAAUUUUUCUCAAUGGGGGAAACCCUGAAGGAGCGACGCCGCGUGGAGGAUGAAUGCUUUCGGGUUGUAAACUCCUGUCAUUUGGGAACAAAGCCUUACGUUAACUGCGUGGAGGUUUGAUAGUACCAGAAGAGGAAGAGACGGCUAACUCUGUGCCAGCAGCCGCGGUAAUACAGAGGUCUCAAGCGUUGUUCGGAUUCAUUGGGCGUAAAGGGCGCGUAGGCUGCGGGGUAAGUCGGGUGUGAAAUCUCAGAGCUCAACUCUGAAACUGCACUCGAUAUUGCUCUGCUAGAGGACUGGAGAGGAGAUUGGAAUUCACGGUGUAGCAA